GGGGGAGUGGGGUAGCCUGGCAUCCUGCGGGCUUUGGGGGCCUGUGACCCCAGUUCGAAUCUGGGCUCCCCCA
This 73-nucleotide transfer RNA is filed under the name Methanomicrobia archaeon. RNAcentral describes it as "tRNA-Pro". It matches the Rfam family "tRNA". Rfam says of the family: Transfer RNA (tRNA) molecules are approximately 80 nucleotides in length. Lineage: Archaea; Methanobacteriati; Methanobacteriota; Methanomicrobia. The record is from RNAcentral.